UCCGGCUUGUCGCCGGCGGUCCCUUUAGAGUGCCCAACUGAAUGAUGGCAACUAAAGGCGAGGGUUGCGCUCGUUGCGGGACUUAACCCAACAUCUCACGACACGAGCUGACGACAGCCAUGCAGCACCUGUCUCCGCGCCCCUUGCGGGGACUGUCCAUCUCUGGACAUAGCACGGGAUGUCAAACCCUGGUAAGGUUCUGCGCGUUGCGUCGAAUUAAACCACAUGCUCCACCGCUUGUGCAGGUCCCCGUCAAUUCCUUUGAGUUUUAACCUUGCGGUCGUACUCCCCAGGCGGGAUGCUUAAUGCGUUAGCUUGGGACACUGAAGGGGUCAAUACUCCUAAUGUCUAGUGAACAUCGUUUAGGGCGUGGACUAC
RNAcentral lists this unclassified non-coding RNA (378 nucleotides) under uncultured Alphaproteobacteria bacterium. RNAcentral's name for it is "contains 16S-23S intergenic spacer region". Lineage: Bacteria; Pseudomonadati; Pseudomonadota; Alphaproteobacteria. The record is from RNAcentral.